ACGAGAGGACCGGAGUGGACGUACCUCUGGUGUACCGGUUGUCAUGCCAAUGGCAUUGCCGGGUAGCUAAGUACGGAAGAGAUAACCGCUGAAGGCAUCUAAGCGGGAAACUCGUCUGAAGAUUAGGUAUCCCGGGGACUUGAUCCCCCUGAAGAGUCGUUCGAGACCAGGACGUUGAUAGGUCGGGUGUGGAAGCGCAGUAAUGCGUUAAGCUAACCGAUACUAAUUGCUCGUGAGGCUUGAUCCUAUAACACUGAUGGUU
RNAcentral lists this ribosomal RNA (262 nucleotides) under Pseudomonas syringae pv. actinidiae. Its description in RNAcentral is "partial 23S ribosomal RNA". It matches the Rfam family "Bacterial large subunit ribosomal RNA", at positions 2683 to 2925 of the family's 2925-position model. Lineage: Bacteria; Pseudomonadati; Pseudomonadota; Gammaproteobacteria; Pseudomonadales; Pseudomonadaceae. The record is from RNAcentral.